GCCUGGGUGGUGGAACUGGUAGACACGUUGGACUUAAAAUCCAAUGGGCAGCAAUGUCCGUGCGGGUUCAAGUCCCGCCUCAGGUA
This 86-nucleotide transfer RNA is filed under the name Sinomicrobium sp. Its description in RNAcentral is "tRNA-Leu". It matches the Rfam family "tRNA". From Rfam's summary of the family: Transfer RNA (tRNA) molecules are approximately 80 nucleotides in length. Their secondary structure includes four short double-helical elements and three loops (D, anti-codon, and T loops). The record is from RNAcentral. Lineage: Bacteria; Pseudomonadati; Bacteroidota; Flavobacteriia; Flavobacteriales; Flavobacteriaceae.